UACGUAGGGUGCGAGCGUUAAUCGGAAUUACUGGGCGUAAAGCGUGCGCAGGCGGUUUUGUAAGUCAGGUGUGAAAUCCCCGGGCUCAACCUGGGAAUGGCAUUUGGGACUGCCAGGCUGGAGUGCGGCAGAGGAGACUGGAAUUCCUGGUGUAGCAGUGAAAUGCGUAGAUAUCAGGAGGAACACCGAUGGCGAAGGCAGGUCUCUGGGCUGACACUGACGCUCAUGCACGAAAGCGUGGGGAGCAAACAGG
This 253-nucleotide ribosomal RNA is filed under the name uncultured bacterium. RNAcentral describes it as "partial 16S ribosomal RNA". It matches the Rfam family "Bacterial small subunit ribosomal RNA", at positions 524 to 776 of the family's 1533-position model. The record is from RNAcentral.